Molecule: small RNA, 180 nt
Filed under: Magnetospirillum gryphiswaldense
Lineage: Bacteria; Pseudomonadati; Pseudomonadota; Alphaproteobacteria; Rhodospirillales; Rhodospirillaceae
Description: Manganese sequence
Rfam family: Manganese Mn2+ riboswitch aptamer (yybP-ykoY)
About the family: This RNA was originally discovered in E. coli during a large scale screen and was named SraF. The family was later found to exist upstream of related families of protein genes in many bacteria, including the the yybP and ykoK genes in B. subtilis.
Source: RNAcentral
CCCUUCUCCUUUGGGGAGUAGCCGCUCUCGCCUAGCAGAGAGGGGCGCGUCAACAGACUUGGCCUUUUGGGGCCGUGGCGCGUCCGGCCAUCGGGUUUGGCAAGACCAUGGGUUGCGGGUUCCGUCCGGCCGGGCGGGGACCUUUGCAGCCUCGUGCGUCUUGCCCGGCCUUGGAUUGUU